This 212-nucleotide non-coding RNA is filed under the name Alkalihalobacillus pseudalcaliphilus. RNAcentral describes it as "Bacillus pseudalcaliphilus T-box sequence". It matches the Rfam family "T-box leader". Rfam says of the family: Uncharged tRNA acts as the effector for transcription antitermination of genes in the T-box leader family. Lineage: Bacteria; Bacillati; Bacillota; Bacilli; Caryophanales; Bacillaceae. The record is from RNAcentral.
ACGUUUGCUAAGAAAGGUAUAUAGGUGGAAUCAUUUUAGUAGCAAAAAGAGAGCUGAUGGUUGGUGUGAAUCAGCACGAGAUGAUUUUAAAUUACAGACCUGGAGCAUUUUUCUUGUGAGUAGCAAGAAACGGUUACGCCGUUAUCGUCUUGAGUGGAGGCUUAUUUUGUCAGCUUCAAUUAGGGUGGUACCGCGAUAACCUCGUCCCUGUU